Sus scrofa (pig) is the source of this 1212-nucleotide non-coding RNA. The record is from RefSeq and is a predicted model, not a curated record. NCBI's taxonomy places the organism in Eukaryota, Metazoa, Chordata, Mammalia, Artiodactyla, Suidae.
UGGGCAGGGGGCGAGGGGCGGCUCCCAGGCGCAAGUCCCGGCUGUUAAUACGUGGGCGUCCGGUAUUAGGUGCUGGAGAUCCGCUGGCGGUUGCCUCACUCUUCCUGAGCUCACAGGAGACGCAACCUCUGAGUAGGCGUGGAAACUUGGGCAGUGGACGGAAUCUCUCUGUGCUUUAGUUUUCCCGUCUGUAAAAUGGGGCUAACAAUGGAACCUAUUUCCCAGGUGGUAGUGAGAUUCAAGGCAGUCUGUGUAAGGUACAGAGCAAAUGUGAGGCGCAGUAACACGUGUUCCGGAUGUGCAGCCCCUCUGUGACCAGUCUCCUGUUAGGGCACCAGAGACGCAGCACAAGGGUUGAGCUGAUGGUUGGGCCAAACUCCUCCCCUCACUGGUGAGGAGCCUGAGGUCUGGCCUUCACUCGUCUUGUGGAGGAAGAAAAGGAACUUUGUUCAGCCAAGUUGGACACCUGGUCCUUUCAACCGGAAGCAACCCUCCUCCACAGCCAGCCCAGAAGGUUUGAUGGGCUGAUCCACACCCAUGACUUCAGGACUUAAUGUGUAACCUGGACUGUGCCAGUCAGAGCAGCAAGACCCUCUGGCCUCAGCAUCUGGCUUAGAGCAUCAUAUGACCCUCAACAAGCUGUAACACUGCAUGUUUACAAACCACUGCCAAUGGAAUAUGGGCGGAAGUAGUGAAUGCUGAGAGUUCCCUGGUGGUCUAAGAGGUUUAGGACUUGGCAUUUUUGGCACUGAGGCCAGGGUUCAAUCCCUGAUCUAGCAACUGAGAUGCCACAUUGAGUCGCUGUGUGCUAUGGCUGAAAAAGGAAAAAAGAAGUGGAGGAUGACACUUUUAGGCUUGCAGCCUAACAGGUGGGAUUGUUGGAGACCAUGGAACAGCUGAGCUCUGCAGAAGGCAAAUAUCUAUGGACACAGUGUUCUAAAGUACAGAGUCUCCUUUAGAGACAUGAUAAAAGGACUUAUGUAUUAACCAUGUUAUUCUGUACACAGCUGCACUAUAUCUUAAGGAUACCCCCUUUGAUAUCACUAAGAAGAUAACUUUGUUAUAUUGCCUAUGCCUGUUCCUGCCCACUAAUCUCGUCACCUUCCCUACAGGUGUCAUCACCUUCCUUAAUAAAAGUCAUGUGGGCUAAAGCCUAGGUGCCUUAGUUCUGCAGAAUAGAGUGCCUCCUGGUCCCCCACUUUCUAAAUGUAA